GUCUACGGUCAUGCUACCCUGAACAAGCCCGAUCUCGGAAGCUAAGCAGGGUCGAGCCUGAUUAGUACUUGGAUGGGAGACCAUCUAGGAAGACCAGGCGCUGUAGGCA
This 109-nucleotide ribosomal RNA is filed under the name Pteropus alecto (black flying fox). Lineage: Eukaryota; Metazoa; Chordata; Mammalia; Chiroptera; Pteropodidae. The record is from RNAcentral.